UACGUAGGGGGCAAGCGUUGUCCGGAUUCAUUGGGCGUAAAGAGCUUGUAGGCGGUUCAGUAAGUCGGGUGUGAAAGCUCCGAGCUCAACUCGGAGAGGCCACCCGAUACUGCUGUGACUUGAGUCCAGUAGAGGAGCGUGGAAUUCCUGGUGUAGCGGUGAAAUGCGCAGAUAUCAGGAGGAACACCAGCAGCGAAGGCGGCGCUCUGGGCUGGAACUGACGCUGAGGAGCGAAAGCGUGGGUAGCAAACAGG
Molecule: ribosomal RNA, 254 nt
Filed under: uncultured bacterium
Lineage: Bacteria
Description: partial 16S ribosomal RNA
Rfam family: Bacterial small subunit ribosomal RNA
Source: RNAcentral